AGAGUUUGAUCCUGGCUCAGGACAAACGCUGGCGGCGUGCGUAACACAUGCAAGUCGAGCGGGCCAGUCUUCGGAUUGGUCAGCGGCGGACGGGUGAGUAACACGUGAGUCACCAACCCUCCAGUGGGGGAUACCCGGCGGAAACGCUGGUUAAUCCCGCAUACGGUUCUUUGGAACGAAAGCAGCAAUGCGCUGGUGGA
RNAcentral lists this ribosomal RNA (200 nucleotides) under uncultured bacterium. RNAcentral's name for it is "partial 16S ribosomal RNA". It matches the Rfam family "Bacterial small subunit ribosomal RNA", at positions 8 to 225 of the family's 1533-position model. The record is from RNAcentral.